GACGAACGCUGGCGGCGUGCUUAACACAUGCAAGUCGAACGAAGUGGCGAACGGGUGAGUAACGCGUAAUCAAACUGCCCUUCAGAGGGGGACAACAGUUGGAAACGACUGCUAAUACCGCAUACUGAAGGAGGGGAUUGCGUCGGAUUAGCUAGUUGGAGGGGUAACGGCCCACCAAGGCGAUGAUCAGUAGCAGGGCGUGGAGGAUGAACGGCAACAAUGGGACUGGGACACGGGCCAGACUGCUACGGGAGGCAGCAGUGGGGAAUCUUGCGCAAUGGACGAAAGUCUGACGGAGCAACGCCGCGUGAGUGAUGACGGCCUUCGGGUUGUAAAGCUCUGUUAAUCGGGACGCGGUACCGGAAUAGAAAGCAACGGCUAACUACGUGCCAGCAGCCGCGGUAAUAC
Molecule: ribosomal RNA, 408 nt
Filed under: uncultured bacterium
Lineage: Bacteria
Description: partial 16S ribosomal RNA
Rfam family: Bacterial small subunit ribosomal RNA
Source: RNAcentral